UUUCUCAACGGCCGCAGUACCCUGACUGUGCAAAGGUAGCAUAAUCAUUUGCCUUUUAAUUGAAGGCUUGUAUGAAUGGAUCAACGCAAAUAAAACUGUCUCUACAAUAACUGUAAAACCUAGACUUUGAGUGAAAAUACUCAAAUAAUAAUAAAGGACAAAAAGACCCUAUAGAGCUGCAUUCUUGAUAAACCAUUUAAGCCCCUUAGACUACAUAUAUUUUAACGGAAUUUUGUUGGGGCAACAAAGGAAAACCCAAAACUUCCUUCUCAAUACAGACCUAUUAGUCUCCCAAAUGAUCCUAAUAAGAUCUACAGAAAAAGCUACCUUAGGGAUAACAGGCUAAUCCUUUUAGAGAGUUCACAUUGACAAAAGGGAUUGGCACCUCGAUGUUGGCUUAAGAUAUCCUUUAGGUGCAGCAGCCUAAAAAGGUUGGUUUGUUCAACCAUUAAAAUCUUACA
Molecule: ribosomal RNA, 461 nt
Filed under: Glycera alba
Lineage: Eukaryota; Metazoa; Annelida; Polychaeta; Phyllodocida; Glyceridae
Description: partial 16S ribosomal RNA
Rfam family: Bacterial large subunit ribosomal RNA
Source: RNAcentral